AUGGCUUCUACGAAGAAGGGUUGUGACAAGAAGGGCCGCUCUGCCACCAACAAGGUGAUGACCUGAGAAUGCAUCAUCAUUUACAAGGGUAUCCAUGGAGUGGGCUUCAAGAAGACUGCCCCUGGGCAUUCAAAGAGAUCUGGAAAUUUGUUAUGAAGGAGAUGUGUUCACUGACAUGAGGCUCAACAAAGUUGUCUGGGCCAAAGGAAUAAGGAACGUCCUAUACCACAAUCUGUGAACAGCUGUCCAGGAAAUGUAAUGAAAAUGAAGAUUCACCAAACGAGCUCCAUAUUUUGAUUACCUAUGUACCUGUUACCACUUUCAAAAAUCUAUAGUCAGUCAAUGAGGAUGAGAACUAG
Molecule: long non-coding RNA, 359 nt
Filed under: Homo sapiens (human)
Lineage: Eukaryota; Metazoa; Chordata; Mammalia; Primates; Hominidae
Description: non-protein coding lnc-MALSU1-4:1
Source: RNAcentral